UACAGAGGGCUCAAGCGUUGUUCGGAUUCAUUGGGCGUAAAGGGCGCGUAGGCUGCGGGGCAAGUCGGGUGUGAAAUCUCAGAGCUCAACUCUGAAACUGCACUCGAUACUGCUUUGCUUGAGGACUGGAGAGGAGAUUGGAAUUCACGGUGUAGCAGUGAAAUGCGUAGAUAUCGUGAGGAAGACCAGUGGCGAAGGCGGAUCUCUGGACAGUUCCUGACGCUGAGGCGCGAAGGCCAGGGGAGCAAACGGG
This 253-nucleotide ribosomal RNA is filed under the name uncultured bacterium. RNAcentral describes it as "partial 16S ribosomal RNA". It matches the Rfam family "Bacterial small subunit ribosomal RNA", at positions 524 to 776 of the family's 1533-position model. The record is from RNAcentral.